UCUCUUGAGUGGAUCCUGAGUACGACGGAGCACGUGAAAUUCCGUCGGAAUCUGGGAGGACCAUCUCCUAAGGCUAAAUACUCUCUAGUGACCGAUAGUGAACCAGUACCGUGAGGGAAAGGUGAAAAGCACCCCGGAAGGGGAGUGAAAUAGAACCUGAAACCGUGUGCUUACAAGUAGUCAGAGCCCGUUAAUGGGUGAUGGCGUGCCUUUUGUAGAAUGAACCGGCGAGUUACGAUUUGAUGCAAGGUUAAGCAGUAAAUGUGGAGCCGUAGCGAAAGCGAGUCUGAAUAGGGCGUUUAGUAUUUGGUCGUAGACCCGAAACCAGGUGAUCUACCCUUGGUCAGGUUGAAGUUCAGGUAACACUGAAUGGAGGACCGAACCGACUUACGUUGAAAAGUGAGCGGAUGAACUGAGGGUAGCGGAGAAAUUCCAAUCGAACCUGGAGAUAGCUGGUUCUCUCCGAAAUAGCUUUAGGGCUAGCCUCAAGUGAUGAUUAUUGGAGGUANUGAUGAUUAUUGGAGGUAGAGCACUGUUUGGACGAGGGGCCCCUCUCGGGUUACCGAAUUCAGACAAACUCCGAAUGCCAAUUAAUUUAACUUGGGAGUCAGAACAUGGGUGAUAAGGUCCGUGUUCGAAAGGGAAACAGCCCAGACCACCAGCUAAGGUCCCAAAAUAUAUGUUAAGUGGAAAAGGAUGUGGCGUUGCCCAGACAACUAGGAUGUUGGCUUAGAAGCAGCCAUCAUUUAAAGAGUGCGUAAUAGCUCACUAGUCGAGUGACACUGCGCCGAAAAUGUACCGGGGCUAAACAUAUUACCGAAGCUGUGGAUUGUCCUUUGGACAAUGGUAGGAGAGCGUUCUAAGGGCGUUGAAGCAUGAUCGUAAGGACAUGUGGAGCGCUUAGAAGUGAGAAUGCCGGUGUGAGUAGCGAAAGACGGGUGAGAAUCCCGUCCACCGAUUGACUAAGGUUUCCAGAGGAAGGCUCGUCCGCUCUGGGUUAGUCGGGUCCUAAGCUGAGGCCGACAGGCGUAGGCGAUGGAUAACAGGUUGAUAUUCCUGUACCACCUAUAAUCGUUUUAAUCGAUGGGGGGACGCAGUAGGAUAGGCGAAGCGUGCGAUUGGAUUGCACGUCUAAGCAGUAAGGCUGAGUAUUAGGCAAAUCCGGUACUCGUUAAGGCUGAGCUGUGAUGGGGAGAAGACAUUGUGUCUUCGAGUCGUUGAUUUCACACUGCCGA
This 1235-nucleotide ribosomal RNA is filed under the name Vibrio parahaemolyticus. RNAcentral describes it as "partial 23S ribosomal RNA". It matches the Rfam family "Bacterial large subunit ribosomal RNA", at positions 393 to 1611 of the family's 2925-position model. The record is from RNAcentral. Lineage: Bacteria; Pseudomonadati; Pseudomonadota; Gammaproteobacteria; Vibrionales; Vibrionaceae.